RNAcentral lists this transfer RNA (25 nucleotides) under Lepidophyma mayae. RNAcentral's name for it is "partial tRNA-Ser". Lineage: Eukaryota; Metazoa; Chordata; Lepidosauria; Squamata; Xantusiidae. The record is from RNAcentral.
AAGGGACGUAAGGCACAAAAAGAGC